Molecule: transfer RNA, 72 nt
Filed under: Myrmecia israelensis
Lineage: Eukaryota; Viridiplantae; Chlorophyta; Trebouxiophyceae; Trebouxiales; Trebouxiaceae
Description: Myrmecia israeliensis tRNA-His
Rfam family: tRNA
About the family: Transfer RNA (tRNA) molecules are approximately 80 nucleotides in length. Their secondary structure includes four short double-helical elements and three loops (D, anti-codon, and T loops). Further hydrogen bonds mediate the characteristic L-shaped molecular structure. tRNAs have two regions of fundamental functional importance: the anti-codon, which is responsible for specific mRNA codon recognition, and the 3' end, to which the tRNAs corresponding amino acid is attached (by aminoacyl-tRNA synthetases). tRNAs cope with the degeneracy of the genetic code in two manners: having more than one tRNA (with a specific anti-codon) for a particular amino acid; and 'wobble' base-pairing, i.e. permitting non-standard base-pairing at the 3rd anti-codon position.
Source: RNAcentral
GCGGGCGUAGCCAAGUGGUAAGGCAAUGGAUUGUGACUCCAUUAUUCGCGGGUUCAAAUCCCGUCGUUCGCC